UGGGGCCUACGGGACGCAGCAGUGAGGAAUAUUGGUCAAUGGGCGGAAGCCUGAACCAGCCAAGUCGCGUGAGGGAAUAAGGCCCUACGGGUCGUAAACCUCUUUUGCCGGGGAGCAAGGGCCGGGACGCGUCCCGGCCCGGAGAGUACCCGGAGAAAAAGCAUCGGCUAACUCCGUGCCAGCAGCCGCGGUAAUACGGAGGAUGCGAGCGUUAUCCGGAUUUAUUGGGUUUAAAGGGUGCGUAGGCGGGCUUUUAAGUCAGCGGUAAAAAUUCGGG
This 277-nucleotide ribosomal RNA is filed under the name uncultured bacterium. RNAcentral describes it as "partial 16S ribosomal RNA". It matches the Rfam family "Bacterial small subunit ribosomal RNA", at positions 333 to 606 of the family's 1533-position model. The record is from RNAcentral.